Molecule: long non-coding RNA, 941 nt
Filed under: Erythranthe guttata (spotted monkey flower)
Lineage: Eukaryota; Viridiplantae; Streptophyta; Magnoliopsida; Lamiales; Phrymaceae
Description: long non-coding RNA (EGUT_LNC001458)
Source: RNAcentral
AAAAGCAUACUGCCCUUUAUUUUAAAAUUACCUGUUGACCCAUGUAAAAUCACUAAACUACCCCUAAUUAAAAACAAAUAAUAAAUUAAAAUAUCCAAAUCCCAAACGCGUAUCCACCGUCGGUCCAUUUUCUGGGUUGGAUUCUUGUUUUCGGUCGGGAAUUUUAUUUUUCUUUUGUUUUUUUCUCCAUCUUCUUCCUCCUCCCCUUCACAUCUUUUCAAAAAACUAACAAAAUUCCAACAAUCUUCUUUGUUCCCCUAAUAUAAGGACCGCAGACCGACGGAGGUUCAACCAGCGUCCGGGAAGGUGUGGCGGCGCAAACCGGCGGCAUAUUCCAUGGUGGAUCUACACUCACAAAUUAACUCUCUGCCCCUAUGUAUAUAGGUGAAUUUUCUUUGUACAAAAUUCCAAAAUCCGGAAUAAAAAAAAUUGGAUCUGGAAUUUGGUCCCUUCUUUCUCUGUCUCGAAGGUUACGACAUACAUCUAUGGCGGCCCGGUUGAAAAUCGAAUCUUGGCCCUCUUCUUUCUCUAUGUUGAAGAAAUCCAAAAAUCUCAAACCCUAAAGUUGGGCUUUUAGACUUGAAUUUGCUUUUGAUGAAGAUUCCGAUGAAAUUCUGGAGCACCGGUAGUCGUCGAUGUGGCGGCGACAUUAAAGUACGUGGUGGGGAGAAUGGAUGGCAGUAUUGGAAGGAUGAUUUGAUGGUGACGAUGAAAUGGUGCAGGGAAGCUGUAUAAAUAAAUUUUUUAAAUUGCAAUUUUAUCCAAAAAGUUGGAUUAUUUAUUUUUAAAUCCAAAUGAAUUUAUGUUUAGUUAUAAAAUAAUUUUAGAGGGCAUUUCGGACUUUUCAUUACACAAAUAUAAUAAAGAGUUGCAGAAUCAGUGCGUGUAACACACAAUCAGCCCGCAGGGGUCUUUCAUGCUUUGACUAAUUUUCAUAGGGG